UGCCAGCAGCCGCGGUAAUACGAAGGGUGCAAGCGUUAAUCGGAAUUACUGGGCGUAAAGCGUGCGUAGGCGGUUUUUUAAGUCUGCUGUGAAAUCCCCGGGCUCAACCUGGGAAUGGCAGUGGAUACUGGAAAGCUAGAGUGUGAUAGAGGAUGGUGGAAUUCCCGGUGUAGCGGUGAAAUGCGUAGAGAUCGGGAGGAACAUCAGUGGCGAAGGCGGCCAUCUGGAUCAACACUGACGCUGAGGCACGAAAGCGUGGGGAGCAAACAGGAUUAGAUACCCUGGUAGUCCACGCCCUAAACGGUGCGAACUGGAUGUUGGUCUCAACUCGGAGAUACAGUGUCGAAGCUAACGCGUUAAGUUCGCCGCCUGGGGAGUACGGUCGCAAGACUAAACUCAAAGGAAUGAC
This 409-nucleotide ribosomal RNA is filed under the name uncultured bacterium. Its description in RNAcentral is "bacterial SSU rRNA". It matches the Rfam family "Bacterial small subunit ribosomal RNA", at positions 506 to 914 of the family's 1533-position model. The record is from RNAcentral.